RNAcentral lists this ribosomal RNA (252 nucleotides) under uncultured bacterium. RNAcentral's name for it is "partial 16S ribosomal RNA". It matches the Rfam family "Bacterial small subunit ribosomal RNA", at positions 524 to 773 of the family's 1533-position model. The record is from RNAcentral.
UACGAAGGGGGGCUAGCGUUGUUCGGAAUUACUGGGCGUAAAGCGCACGUGAGGCGGAUAUUUAAGUCAGGGGUGAAAUCCCAGAGCUCAACUCUGGAACUGCCUUUGAUACUGGGUAUCUUGAGUAUGGAAGAGGUAAGUGGAAUUGCGAGUGUAGAGGUGAAAUUCGUAGAUAUUCGCAGGAACACCAGUGGCGAAGGCGGCUUACUGGUCCAUAACUGACGCUGAGGUGCGAAAGCGUGGGGAGCAAAC